Molecule: long non-coding RNA, 233 nt
Filed under: Mytilus galloprovincialis (Mediterranean mussel)
Lineage: Eukaryota; Metazoa; Mollusca; Bivalvia; Mytilida; Mytilidae
Source: RNAcentral
CAUGAAACUUGUGCAGAAAUUAAUAUUCCUGACCAAGACAAAAUAUCUAAUGAAAAUAUUUGAUUUGUUUAAAUCCUGUAAUGGACUGAUAAAUUAUUUUUCGCUUGGAGAAAUCCCAGGCGAGAACCAGGGUUCCAUAGAGAACCCUUUACAAAUUUUAAUAUUUCACCUGAAUAACUCAUUUACGACAUUUGCACAUGAAAAUGUGUUUUCGUUGAUUGAGUGCUUUACCC